GGUUCAGGAUGAACGCUAGCUACAGGCUUAACACAUGCAAGUCGAGGGGCAGCAUGUUGGUUGCUUGCAACCAAUGAUGGCGACCGGCGCACGGGUGAGUAACGCGUAUCCAACCUCCCCUUAGUAGAGGAUAGCCCGGCGAAAGUCGGAUUAAUACUCUAUGUUCUUCAAUGCGGACAUCUAAGUUGAAGCAAAGAUUUAUCGCUAAGGGAUGGGGAUGCGUCUGAUUAGGUUGCAGGCGGGGUAACGGCCCGCCUGGCCUACGAUCAGUAGGGGUUCUGAGAGGAAGGUCCCCCACACUGGUACUGAGACACGGACCAGACUCCUACGGGAGGCAGCAGUGAGGAAUAUUGGUCAAUGGGCGCGAGCCUGAACCAGCCAAGUAGCGUGCAAGGACGACCGCCCUAUGGGUUGUAAACUGCUUUUAUCAGGGAAUAAAGUGAGGCACGCGUGCCUUUUUGUAUGUACCUGAUGAAUAAGGACCGGCUAAUUCCGUGCCAGCAGCAGC
This 508-nucleotide ribosomal RNA is filed under the name uncultured bacterium. Its description in RNAcentral is "bacterial SSU rRNA". It matches the Rfam family "Bacterial small subunit ribosomal RNA", at positions 21 to 518 of the family's 1533-position model. The record is from RNAcentral.